AGAUCGGGUCCUGGUAGUACCAAAGUGCUCAUAGUGCAGGUAGUUGGGGCAUUACUCUACUGCAGCGUGGGCACUUAAGGUACUCUUGGAUAACG
Molecule: microRNA precursor, 95 nt
Organism: Loxodonta africana (African savanna elephant)
Lineage: Eukaryota; Metazoa; Chordata; Mammalia; Proboscidea; Elephantidae
Gene: MIR20B
Product: microRNA 20b
Source: Ensembl